This 1007-nucleotide long non-coding RNA is filed under the name Panax ginseng (ginseng). RNAcentral describes it as "long non-coding RNA (PGIN_LNC011756)". The record is from RNAcentral. Lineage: Eukaryota; Viridiplantae; Streptophyta; Magnoliopsida; Apiales; Araliaceae.
UGAUAUAGGUAGAAAAAUAAUCUAAAUGUUCAAUGAUAUAGGUUAAUAGGUAUCCUUGAGAAAAUCAUAAAGUUUGAGAAUCAGAAUUUUAUUAGAUUAUUCGUUACAUCUUUUUGGAAUCAAAAUGCAGCACUCGAGGGUUUUAAUAUUAAUGACAGAAACAAAAUGUUACAAUCAGGAGCUGGUUUUAGUAGUUUUCGAGUUGCAACACAUCAUUCAUUCACUCUUUGAACUAAAGACAAACAUUGAUGUGGAAACUAUAAACUUCAUUUAAAUCUAUGACUUAAAAAUUAUAUCUGCCAAUUCUUGUCUCUAUUGACUUGUUUAGGUCAAUAUGAACUGUUGCGUUUGUGGUCAAAAAAUAUUUGGCUAUUAGUUUUGACACAUGAACAUACUCAAAGAAACAUGGACACUUUUGCAAGCUGUCCUUGAAUGAGCUUUUCAAUUGUCCAAUUAUUGAACAUAAUUUUUGUCUGUUGUGAUUGUGUCCGAUCAUUGCCUUGCACAGGUUAACGACGUCAUGUCCAACUUUGGAUAUGAGAUUUUAGUAAUAUGAUGGGAAAGUAGAGAUUGUUUGAAGAAACUAUAACUAUGUUAAAAUUUUAAAAUAUACUUUUGAAAACAGAAAAGAUUAAAUACAUACAUCAUACAUGCCUUGAAAUUUACAUAACCGCUAGCAAUUGAUUAUUAUUGUUUUGAAAUUAUAUAUGGGUGUUUGAUCCGCUUAGAGCAUUCAACUAAUUCUACGGGUGCCUAACCCUCCUGCAAGAUACUUACAUCGGGCUAUUCUAUGCGUUUGGGUACCCCCUAAGGUUGGCUGAAGUUGAUCAUGUGACAUCUCCUUGGCAAAUAUCAUGGUAGAGCACGUCUUUGAACCAAUCCUUUGCAUGUGCUACAGAUUGAUUAUUAAGUUGUAUACAUUAAUAGUUUUAAUGUUACUAUUGCAUGAUAUUAAUUAGAUUUGCUCGUUAUAUUGUUUUUAUAUAAAUAUUUCAUGUUACUGUGUC